This 253-nucleotide ribosomal RNA is filed under the name uncultured bacterium. RNAcentral's name for it is "partial 16S ribosomal RNA". It matches the Rfam family "Bacterial small subunit ribosomal RNA", at positions 524 to 776 of the family's 1533-position model. The record is from RNAcentral.
UACGUAGGGGGCGAGCGUUGUCCGGAAUUAUUGGGCGUAAAGCGCGCGCAGGCGGUCCUUUAAGUCUGAUGUGAAAGCCCACGGCUCAACCGUGGAGGGCCAUUGGAAACUGGGGGACUUGAGUGCAGAAGAGGAGAGUGGAAUUCCUGGUGUAGCGGUGAAAUGCGUAGAGAUCAGGAGGAACACCGAUGGCGAAGGCAGCUCUCUGGUCUGUAACUGACGCUGAGGCGCGAAAGCGUGGGGAGCAAACAGG